ACCCCAGGUCAGGSGGGACUACCCGCUGAGUUUAAGC
RNAcentral lists this ribosomal RNA (37 nucleotides) under Luffa aegyptiaca (smooth loofah). RNAcentral describes it as "partial 25S ribosomal RNA". Lineage: Eukaryota; Viridiplantae; Streptophyta; Magnoliopsida; Cucurbitales; Cucurbitaceae. The record is from RNAcentral.